RNAcentral lists this small RNA (2452 nucleotides) under Pan troglodytes (chimpanzee). RNAcentral describes it as "retained intron". Lineage: Eukaryota; Metazoa; Chordata; Mammalia; Primates; Hominidae. The record is from RNAcentral.
GUGCACCGCGCGCUGCCCGAGGCGCAGGUCAACCAGAAUCAAGAUGUCUGGGACUGAGGAAGCAAUUCUUGGAGGACGUGACAGCCAUCCUGCUGCUGGCGGCGGCUCGGUGUUAUGCUUUGGACAGUGCCAGUACACAGCAGAAGAGUACCAGGCCAUCCAGAAGGCCCUGAGGCAGAGGCUGGGCCCAGAAUACAUAAGUAGCCGCAUGGCUGGCGGAGGCCAGAAGGUGUGCUACAUUGAGGGUCAUCGGGUAAUUAAUCUGGCCAAUGAGAUGUUUGGUUACAAUGGCUGGGCACACUCCAUCACGCAGCAGAAUGUGGGUGAGUAUGCUCUCCAGCAGUGGGGACUUCUGCACUGUCCAGCUCCUGCUGAAAGUCUGCUGUGGGUGAGGAGGUAAGGUAGGUGGACUCAGCUGCCAGCAGGAGGAAUGGUUGUGGCCCAGCGGUCAGUGUCCUCUUCAACUUGCUCUCUUUCCCACUCCUAGAUUUUGUUGACCUCAACAAUGGCAAGUUCUACGUGGGAGUCUGUGCAUUUGUGAGGGUCCAGCUGAAGGUGAGGGGGAUGGAGUAGACCUGCUGCCCGGAAGGAUCAGUGGGUGGUAGGAGAAGGAUGGUUCAUAUCAUGAAGAUGUUGGUUAUGGUGUUAGUGAGGGCCUCAAGUCCAAGGCUUUAUCUUUGGAGAAGGCAAGGAAGGAGGCGGUGACAGACGGGCUGAAGCGAGCCCUCAGGAGUUUUGGGAAUGCACUUGGAAACUGUAUUCUGGACAAAGACUACCUGAGAUCACUAAAUAAGCUUCCAUGCCAGUUGCCUCUUGAAGUGGAUUUAACUAAAGCGAAGAGACAAGAUUUUGAACCGUCUGUGGAAGAGGCAAGAUACAACAGCUGCCGACCGAACAUGGCCCUGGGACACCCACAACUACAGGAGGCGACCUCCCCUUCCAGACCAAGCCAUGCUGUGAUACAGGCGGACAAGGACUGCAGCUCCCGCCGUGGCUGUUGCUCAGGAGCCCUCGUCCCCGCUGUCCUCUCAUGCAGAAGCCUGACCUCAUCCGCCGUGGAGAGCGAGGCCACGCACCAGCGGAAGCUCCGGCAGAAGCAGCUGCAGCAGCAGUUCCGGGAGCGGAUGGAGAAGCAGCACGUUCGAGUCUCCACGCCGUCAGCUGAGAAGAGUGAGGCAGCGCCUCCGGCCCCUCCUCUGACGCACAGCACUCCUGUAACCGUCUCAGAACCACUCCCGGAGAAAGACUUCCUUGCAGGAGUGACUCAAGAAUUAAUCAAGACUCUUGAAGACAACUCUGAAAAGUGGGCUGUGGCUCCCGAUGCAGGGGAUGGUGUGGUCAGGCCCUCGUCUACAGCAGACCCAGCCCAGGCCUCUGACACACUAGCCUUGAACAACCAGAUGGUGACCCAGAACAGGACUCCACACAGCCUUUGCCACCAGAAACCACAAGCAAAAUCUGGAUCUUGGGACCUCCAAACUUAUAGCGCCGACCAACGCACAACAGGAAACUGGGAAUCUCAUAGGAAGAGCCAGGACAUGAAGAAAAGGAAAUAUGAUCCAUCUUAACUGAGGCUCAGGCCACAUGAUUGGACUCUGUCACAAAGGGACUUUGGAAAACUACUUUUUGGUCAUGAAAUUGUUCAUCGCUCCUGGAGAAUGAACGUCAUUGCGAUUUAUCUUGCUUCAUUCUGAACCUUAUCAAGAGGAUCUGACUGAGAGCCCACUGCAGUUAGAGCUGAGCACUUUUGAAAAGCUUGUCCAUCACUCUAGUAGGGAGAGGCUCUGGACAGAUGAAUACCUUUUCUUCGGCUUGUGAGGCUUCCCACUAUUUAUUACUGAACUAUUAUGUUAAUAAAGAUGGACAUUUUAGGAAUCACCAAUGGCUCCUUGCCCUCGAGCAAUAUAGGCCAGACUUGGUCCUAAGCACCUGCCUCAGCAAUUGUCUACAUUCGGCUGUUUUGCAUAACGUCUGCCUUCUUUCCUUUACGGUCCAUGCCUUUAAUGUUGUCCACAUUAAGCACUGUGGAUCACGACAGGAAAAAGGUUGGAGCAGUGCUUUUCACUACUUUGUAUCAAUCCAGGCUACAAUCUUCAUUUAAUAUAAAUAAUUUAUGGAUUUAUGACAUUACAAUCCUGCAUUGUUUCAAGAUGGACAUUUUUUCCUAAGGAAGGAAAUAAUCAAGACCACGAAAAAAGCUGUUUUUUUUUUUUUUUUUUUGAGACGGGGUCUGGCUGUGUUGCCCUGACUGGAGUUCAGUGGUGCAAACACAGCUCUCUCCACAACCUCCUGGGCUCAAGUGAUACUCCCACCUCUGCCUUACAAAAUACAGGGAUUACUGGUGUGAGCCACUGUGUCUGUCUGGCCAGAAAAGGCAUUUUUGAGAAAGCAAAUCGUAUACCUUAUUAACAAAAUAGAAUAUAUAUAUAUUGCUUAUCUGAAAUGCUCGAAA